RNAcentral lists this ribosomal RNA (488 nucleotides) under uncultured Glomus. Its description in RNAcentral is "SSU rRNA". It matches the Rfam family "Eukaryotic small subunit ribosomal RNA", at positions 569 to 1063 of the family's 1831-position model. Lineage: Eukaryota; Fungi; Glomeromycota; Glomeromycetes; Glomerales; Glomeraceae. The record is from RNAcentral.
AGCAGCCGCGGUAAUUCCAGCUCCAAUAGCGUAUAUUAAAGUUGUUGCAGUUAAAAAGCUCGUAGUUGAAUUUCGGGAUCAAUAUGUUGGUCGUGCCUCGGUACGUACUAGCUUAUUGGUUUCUCCUUUCUGAAGAACCAUGAUGUCAUUUAUUUGGUGUCGUGGGGAAUCAGGACUGUUACUUUGAAAAAAUUAGAGUGUUUAAAGCAGGCUCACGCUUGAAUACAUUAGCAUGGAAUAAUGAAAUAGGACGUUUGAUUCUAUUUUGUUGGUUUCUAGGAUCGACGUAAUGAUUAAUAGGGAUAGUUGGGGGCAUUAGUAUUCAAUUGUCAGAGGUGAAAUUCUUGGAUUUAUUGAAGACUAACUACUGCGAAAGCAUUUGCCAAGGAUGUUUUCAUUAAUCAAGAACGAAAGUUAGGGGAUCGAAGACGAUCAGAUACCGUCGUAGUCUUAACCAUAAACUAUGCCGACUAGGAAUCGGAUGAUGU